UACGGGGGGAGCAAGCGUUGUUCGGAUUUACUGGGCGUAAAGGGCGCGUAGGCGGCCACCGCAAGUCGACUGUGAAAUCUCCGGGCUUAACCCGGAAAGGUCAGCCGAUACUGCGGGGCUAGAGUGCAGAAGGGGCAACUGGAAUUCUCGGUGUAGCGGUGAAAUGCGUAGAUAUCGAGAGGAACACCUGCGGCGAAGGCGGGUUGCUGGGCUGACACUGACGCUGAGGCGCGAAAGCGCGGGGAGCGAACGGG
Molecule: ribosomal RNA, 254 nt
Filed under: uncultured bacterium
Lineage: Bacteria
Description: partial 16S ribosomal RNA
Rfam family: Bacterial small subunit ribosomal RNA
Source: RNAcentral